UACGUAGGGAGCAAGCGUUGUCCGGAAUCAUUGGGCGUAAAGCGCGCGUAGGUGGCUUCGUAAGUCCGUUGUGAAAGUCAAAGGCUCAACCUUUGAAAGCCGAUGGAUACUGCGGAGCUAGAGUACGGAAGAGGCGAGUGGAAUUCCUGGUGUAGCGGUGGAAUGCGCAGAUAUCAAGAGGAACACCAAUAGCGAAGGCAGCUCGCUGGGCCGUAACUGACGCUGAGGAGCGAAAGCAUGGGGAGCGAACGGG
Molecule: ribosomal RNA, 253 nt
Filed under: uncultured bacterium
Lineage: Bacteria
Description: partial 16S ribosomal RNA
Rfam family: Bacterial small subunit ribosomal RNA
Source: RNAcentral